This 560-nucleotide ribosomal RNA is filed under the name Brevibacterium sp. RNAcentral describes it as "bacterial SSU rRNA". It matches the Rfam family "Bacterial small subunit ribosomal RNA", at positions 914 to 1469 of the family's 1533-position model. The record is from RNAcentral. Lineage: Bacteria; Bacillati; Actinomycetota; Actinomycetes; Micrococcales; Brevibacteriaceae.
CGGGGGCCCGCACAAGCGGCGGAGCAUGCGGAUUAAUUCGAUGCAACGCGAAGAACCUUACCAAGGCUUGACAUACACUGGACCGUUCUGGAAACAGUUCUUCUCUUUGGAGCUGGUGUACAGGUGGUGCAUGGUUGUCGUCAGCUCGUGUCGUGAGAUGUUGGGUUAAGUCCCGCAACGAGCGCAACCCUCGUUCUAUGUUGCCAGCACGUGAUGGUGGGAACUCAUAGGAGACUGCCGGGGUCAACUCGGAGGAAGGUGGGGAUGACGUCAAAUCAUCAUGCCCUUUAUGUCUUGGGCUUCACGCAUGCUACAAUGGCUGGUACAGAGAGAGGCGAACCCGUGAGGGUAAGCGAAUCCCUUAAAGCCAGUCUCAGUUCGGAUCGUAGUCUGCAAUUCGACUACGUGAAGUCGGAGUCGCUAGUAAUCGCAGAUCAGCAACGCUGCGGUGAAUACGUUCCCGGGCCUUGUACACACCGCCCGUCAAGUCACGAAAGUCGGUAACACCCGAAGCCGGUGUCCCAACCCACUUGUGGGAGGGGGCCGUCUAAGGCGGGACU